GGAUAACGGGGAGGAAGGUGGGGANGACGUCAAGUCCUCAUGGCCUUUAUGUCCAGGGNUACACACGUGNUACAAUGGCCGGUACAAACCGCUGCAAACCCGUGAGGGGGAGCUAAUCGGAAAAAGCCGGCCUCAGUUCGGAUUGGAGUCUGCAACUCGACUCCAUGAAGCUGGAAUCGCUAGUAAUCGCGGAUCAGCAUGCCGCGGUGAAUACGUUUCCCGGGCCUUGUACACACCGCCCGUCACAUCACGAAAGUGGGUUG
This 263-nucleotide ribosomal RNA is filed under the name uncultured bacterium. RNAcentral's name for it is "partial 16S rRNA". It matches the Rfam family "Bacterial small subunit ribosomal RNA", at positions 1156 to 1417 of the family's 1533-position model. The record is from RNAcentral.